This 557-nucleotide unclassified non-coding RNA is filed under the name Briza media. RNAcentral describes it as "partial external transcribed spacer". Lineage: Eukaryota; Viridiplantae; Streptophyta; Magnoliopsida; Poales; Poaceae. The record is from RNAcentral.
AUGAGUAGUUUUGGACCCGUGUCUGCCGGUAGGUCCCCCGUCUUUGUGCGGCCGACUACCGGCGCCGUGUCCCUUCAAUGGUGUGGCUUAUGUUACUGUUGCCUUUCGAGUGCUUGCAUGCUGGUACCCGUCCUCCGGGAAGUGGUGCGUUGUACACAGUUGCCUCGUGGUGGACGCCUUCGGGUGUGUUGCUGCGGCCAAACGGCGCUUGCGGCGUUGCCUCGUGGUGCUGGCACGUUCUCGUGCCCGGUGCUACCACGGCAGCCUUGCUCUCGCUGUUGGUUUCGGAUGUCGCUCACGAUAAAUGCUCAUGGCCCCUUUGGUUGCCUUGACAAGACCCUAAAUAUGCCCCCUCGUUGAGAAAACCCGUGAACAGGUGUUGCCUCUACCUCUCCACAGUUAGUGGUAGGAUACGCAACAUUCUGCGCCGAUCCUCAACUCGUAGGUGGGAUAUUGGCCCGCUCAAUUGCGACAACCGGCACGGCGGUUGACUCUGCCUUUCCACGCAAGUGGACGGGUGAGCARCUACCGGAGCUGGAUGUCCAAGAGGAAGUGCU